RNAcentral lists this unclassified non-coding RNA (416 nucleotides) under Hevea brasiliensis (rubber tree). The record is from RNAcentral. Lineage: Eukaryota; Viridiplantae; Streptophyta; Magnoliopsida; Malpighiales; Euphorbiaceae.
AAUUGGGAGAACUUGACUGAGAAUCAGCGCAUCCAUGCAUCGUCAAUUUAUUUAAGUAUGGCUCGUAACUCAAGGCAAUGUCUAUCAAGCUAAGGAUAAAAGAAGAUUCAAAAGGAACACUAGUUUCACCCUCUUUCUGCACAUUACUAUCACAUUCUUGUGUAGCUUCAGGGGAGGGUGAAGCGAAAAAUGAGAAAAUUGUGUCAAACCAAUCCAAGCGUCCACCAACUGCAACAACAGUGCCGCACCGGACAGUGAUGGACACGGCACUGCUCUGUGGAUCUUGAAAGUGGAUAAUAUCUAAACCUGACAGCUUAGAAGAUAAUACAUUUGAACCUUCUCCGUCACCACGGCUACUGGAAGAGUCAUUGAUGGAGAUGAGGAGAAACUUUUCACUCGGGACCCCUGUAACUGAA